This 251-nucleotide ribosomal RNA is filed under the name uncultured bacterium. Its description in RNAcentral is "partial 16S ribosomal RNA". It matches the Rfam family "Bacterial small subunit ribosomal RNA", at positions 525 to 775 of the family's 1533-position model. The record is from RNAcentral.
ACGUAGGUCACAAGCGUUGUCCGGAAUUACUGGGUGUAAAGGGAGCGCAGGCGGGAAGACAAGUUGGAAGUGAAAUCCAUGGGCUCAACCCAUGAACUGCUUUCAAAACUGUUUUUCUUGAGUAGUGUAGAGGUAGGCGGAAUUCCCGGUGUAGCGGUGGAAUGCGUAGAUAUCGGGAGGAACACCAGUGGCGAAGGCGGCCUACUGGGCACCAACUGACGCUGAGGCUCGAAAGUGUGGGUAGCAAACAG